RNAcentral lists this long non-coding RNA (528 nucleotides) under Monodelphis domestica (gray short-tailed opossum). Its description in RNAcentral is "lncRNA (ENSMODG00000037555.1)". The record is from RNAcentral. Lineage: Eukaryota; Metazoa; Chordata; Mammalia; Didelphimorphia; Didelphidae.
GUUAUAGGUAUUAUUUAGUAUAACAUAAGUAGCAGUUGUAAUUUGACUCAUAUCUUUCUCAUUAUAGGUCCAGUUUUUAUCCAUAGAACUAUGUACAUGCCUCUAGGAUGGAGUAGAGAAUGGAAGGAGUAGGCAGUUUAUUUGGACUCAUGGAGGUAGAAGAUGGAAUACUGUGCCUUUUGCCUCACAAUACCCCAGAGGAACGAUUAGAGCAUGAUAACAACCAACUUCCUGCUGUGCUGUAUUGCUUUCAUACACUAAUUACAAGAGAAGCGGCAAGAUCUGUUUUUCCUCAAACUUUGCACAUCAAGAAAAAAAUUAGAUUCACCAUUUUAUAGUCUUUGCUAUAGGAGGGAGGAAUGAAGGAGAAGCUUAGAAAGAGAAUCAAAGGAAAUGCUAAAAGAAGAGAGACUAUUCAAGUGGUUUGCUAUCUCUUAUUUUUUAAAGAAGCUGAGUUCAGAAUAGGGCAGGGGUAAUGAAUGUUGUUAUUUUGGGGAGUAAGGAUAAACAAUUAAAAAUUCACAAGCA